ACUCCUGUGAGAAUGCCCUACAGUUCCCUGCCCGGGAACAAGGAGCUGGUAUCAGGCACAUUAUAUUCAGCCCAUGACACCUUGCUUAGCCACACCCUCAAGGGAACUCAGCAGUGAUAGACCUUAAGCCAUGAGUGAAAACUCGACUUAGUCAAAGCUAAGAGGGCCGGUAAAACUCGUGCCAGCCACCGCGGUUAUACGAGAGACCCAAGUUGACAGACAUCGGCGUAAAGCGUGGUUAAGACAAAUUGAAGACUAAAGCCGAACCCCCUCAAAGCUGUUAUACGCAUCCGAGGGCAAGAAGCUCAAUCACGAAAGUGGCUUUACCUCCCUGAAUCCACGAAAGCUAUGACACAAACUGGGAUUAGAUACCCCACUAUGCCUAGCCCUAAACAUUGAUAGUACACUACACCCACUAUCCGCCCGGGUACUACGAGCACCAGCUUGAAACCCAAAGGACUUGGCGGUGCUUUAGAUCCACCUAGAGGAGCCUGUUCUAGAACCGAUAACCCCCGUUCAACCUCACCCUUCCUUGUUCUCCCC
Molecule: ribosomal RNA, 543 nt
Filed under: Epigonus denticulatus (pencil cardinal)
Lineage: Eukaryota; Metazoa; Chordata; Actinopteri; Acropomatiformes; Epigonidae
Description: partial 12S ribosomal RNA
Rfam family: Bacterial small subunit ribosomal RNA
Source: RNAcentral